CCCUGGGUGGCAAAAACCAUUAAUGCACUUGGCUGUUACCCAAAAAGUUGGAGGUUCAAGUCCACCCAGAGGCA
Molecule: transfer RNA, 74 nt
Filed under: Loxodonta africana (African savanna elephant)
Lineage: Eukaryota; Metazoa; Chordata; Mammalia; Proboscidea; Elephantidae
Rfam family: tRNA
About the family: Transfer RNA (tRNA) molecules are approximately 80 nucleotides in length. Their secondary structure includes four short double-helical elements and three loops (D, anti-codon, and T loops).
Source: Rfam by way of RNAcentral